AGUGAACGCUGGCGGUAGGCCUAACACAUGCAAGUCGAACGGCAGCACAGAGGAGCUUGCUCCUUGGGUGGCGAGUGGCGGACGGGUGAGGAAUACAUCGGAAUCUACUCUGUCGUGGGGGAUAACGUAGGGAAACUUACGCUAAUACCGCAUACGACCUACGGGUGAAAGCAGGGGACCUUCGGGCCUUGCGCGAUUGAAUGAGCCGAUGUCGGAUUAGCUAGUUGGCGGGGUAAAGGCCCACCAAGGCGACGAUCCGUAGCUGGUCUGAGGGGAUGCUCAGCCACACUGGAACUGAGACACGGUCCAGACUCCUACGGGAGGAAGCAGUGGGGAAUAUUGGACAAUGGGCGCAAGCCUGAUCCAGCCAUACCGCGUGGGUGAAGAAGGCCUUCGGGUUGUAAAGCCCUUUUGUUGGGAAAGAAAUCCAGCUGGCUAAUACCCGGUUGGGAUGACGGUACCCAAAGAAUAAGCACCGGCUAACUUCGUGCCAGCCGCCGCGGUAA
Molecule: ribosomal RNA, 506 nt
Filed under: uncultured bacterium
Lineage: Bacteria
Description: partial 16S ribosomal RNA
Rfam family: Bacterial small subunit ribosomal RNA
Source: RNAcentral